Long non-coding RNA from Gadus macrocephalus (Pacific cod), 3967 nucleotides. RefSeq lists it as uncharacterized. The record is from RefSeq and is a predicted model, not a curated record. Lineage: Eukaryota; Metazoa; Chordata; Actinopteri; Gadiformes; Gadidae. The transcript is spliced from 2 exons.
CCACAAACAGUCUAUUAUUGGCCACAGAGAUGCAGACACCGAUGUGUUUUCCUGGUCGAAUUUCAUUGUUGUUGCACUGUAAAAGAUUGGAAACCACAAGAAUAAACAGGCCACCGGCGUAAGAUGAUCUUAGCGGUAAACCGUCACAGCGACCGAAGUCCCUCGGUGAUACAUUAAUGAGGUCAUCAUUUGGACACAAAGAACAUUGAAUGUACUGGCAUCUCAAUGAAAUACCCACUUAAUCUGGUGGUACAGGGAUGUGAGACGGGCCAGAGAUGACGUACCAGUUUAACGGCCUCCUGUGCAGCGUCUUUAGUGCAGAACGUGACGAAGGCGUAGCCUCGGUUCAGGCCGCUGAGAGGGUCCAUCAUCAGGCGAAGGUCCCAGAUAGGACCAGCCUUCUCGAACAGCGGGACCAGCUCGUCUUCAAACAGGUCUCUGGGGAUCUUGCCAACGAAUAUCUGCCAAGUGGAAAGAGAUACGAUUCAAAUCAGAGGAAGAGUUGUGACCCACGCUGUGGUUGUACUGGUGUGUGUCCUGUCAGGUCUUAGCGGUUAGUCAUCAUUGUAACCAAGGUUACUACAGAGUAGACAUGGUCAUCAUUUGGACACCAGGUAGAGUAGGCGGUGAUCAGAGAGGGCCGUACCUCUGUACCGAUGGUGGGCUGAACCCCGGAGUGGGCCGACUCUGGGGGGGGGCCCCCAUACUUCCUCUGGCCUGUGGUCACAUCGAGUGUGUAGCCAGUCCUCUGCAGCAGGGCCUGUCAACACCAUGGAGGGGUUUAAACGCAGUGAGACUGCCGCUCUUCAGGGAGAGCGGUUUAAAUAUAGGCGUACACCAAGUGGAUGGUCAGCAGUGUUUGUGCUUGACUGCAAUGUUGCUUUGAUACUUGCUACUACCCAAAUAUAUUCCAACAGUCAAGUAACAAUAAAGGUUUCCAGGGUUCAAUGUGGACUCACUUUGAUUUUGGCCUCAUCUGGUCCUUUAUUGGAGUCUGACACUUUGGUCCCUUGUUUCUCUCGCUGUCUGUACGUCUUCAUAACUCCACAAAGAAAGGCACUUUUGUUCUUCAAAGGAACCAGAAUAAUGUAUACCAUCAGAACAACACUUCCACCAUCUCACGUUGUGCUGAAGAAUGCAACCCCAGCUUAUUAGGAUCCUCCAAUAGGAUGUUAUGACCAGUGUCAUCAUACCUGAACAUGUGAGAGGUCGCUCUCCUUGAACUGCAGCAGGACUUGCAGAGCUCCGUCCUCGUUGAACUCCUUCAGGGCCUCGAUCGCCCGGUCAUCCAGGUCACUGUGUGACACCAGUCCUGUUGGCAGCCGAACGCACAACGUACACAACAAGCAGCUGACAAUUAAAACCCAAUGGAGCUGCAGUGCCUUUCUAUGAUCAGGAUUUUAGGCCAACUUGAUAAUGCAGUAGGCUUUUAUGCUGUGAUGGACCGUUAACCCAUUAUAAUUCUGAAUUUCUGGUCUAAUGGAGAAAUGUUUAGAAGGCAGGCUGUACUUUAUUCCCUAAGCAGUAUUUUUCGCCCCACUAAUCAUAACAGAUGUGAGCGUGAAACAUGAUACGCAUGUUCCCUCUAUGGUGUGGCUCACGCUCUUAAUCAGUCUGCCAGCAUUUGGGUCUACAGAGGCGCCAUCACCUGUCCCAAACUGCCACCAAGCAGACAGCUGCUGCUGCUAUUGUUUCUGAUUUGUCCCCAUCUGGUUGAAAUAGCAAGGCAAAGUGAUUUCCCACCAUUACACCUAAGUCCUGAAAUGACCCCUGGAUUGCUACUGAAACUCCUCCCUCUUGUGAGUGUGUAUAUCUUACAAACGUGAGUAGGGCAAAGUACACCAUGUAACCAUAUGCAGGUGAUAUUUUAACUGUCUUUUUAGAGACAUAUUUAAAUGGUGAUUAGGGCCAGGUUAAUAUUAAUCCAUCCAAUUGAACACUAUUGUUACUCCUGAGAAUAAGAAUAAAGUGUUAUUACAGUGAGAGGAACAACUUAAGUGAUUUACAAUGCAACUUCACUAGAAAGUGUAUAAUUAACAAAGUGUAGCACUGCAGUACCCAUUUUGGUAAGAAACCACAAAAAGUUGCUUUAAAAUAACCAAUUCCCACAUUCAAAAAGGCAAAGAAGAUAACAGCACAUGCAAAAGUUUGCAUCAAUAAAAUGCAAGUAUAUGAAUAUACAGAGACAUUCAUUUGUCUUACCUGCUAUGUAAAUUUCAUCUAGUUUUUCAGCAACUUUCUGUGGUAAACCAGCUUCUAAUAAAGUCUGGAAGUGCUCAGAAUGGGUAACUGCAGCAGAGGUGUCCAUUGGUUCUUCUGGACCAUUUCCAUUAAUAUGUUCUGUGGCCAUGUCUCCAGAAAUCUGUGUAAAGGCAAUGAGCCAAAUGAAUGCGUGAUCGUGGUAACAUGUGGAUGUUGUGUGGACAAACGGCUUGUACAUGGGGAGGGGAGGGGGGGCAAGAUCAUGUAUUUAGUGAAUUAUAUUUGCAAUAAAUAAACUUGGCUUGAGUACGAUUAUGCAACAGAGACCAAUUUCAGGCAGUAAAUCAAACCUGACCCAAAUAUGUAUAGAGCACAAAAAAAAGGUUAGACUUUGUCUUUGUCCUCAAAACUACAAUAACACUGCAUAACUCAGAUCUUGAAGCUAUACAAAACUAAUGGCAAUUUCAGAGUGCAUUAAUUGUCAAUACACUUCUGAAAGUUGGCAAUACCAGUUGAAUAUUUGUGAAUACGGGAAUCUCAUUUGUUUCAAAGUUCGUGCAUGCAGAACCAAGUGGCUGUUGCAGCGGUCCAGUGUAUUCUCCAAAGUACAUGUUAGCUCUGCUGCUGCCUCCAGCAGGCUAGAUGCUCAUCCACGUGUUCCUUCAGCGGCUGAGCCCCAGCUUCCGGUGGCUGACCAGUGAACAAGCAUGUAUCGUAUAGCAUACUGUACCAAAACUGACAACAAAUCUAACUUGAAAUCAUAUGAACUGGAACGGUGAAUCUAUAACUAAAGUUUUUAUUUUACGCUUCCGUUACAAAAUUAAGACAUGAUGCAAGUUGCUACUAUUUAUCAUUGUUUGUCUGUUUCUGGACUGAGGGCCAAUAAGCACAUUAAAGUGAUUCCUUAUCGAUCUAAGUUACUGCACAUGCUUUCCGUGUGUAGCGAAACAUCUUCCACGAUGGUCGAAUAACAUUUUAAUGCAGCCCCCUAUAUAAAGACAGACCCGGCCACCUUAACAACCCAUCCGUGCAUCGAGACGUACUAAUAUUAUUGCAUAUAGCAGCAGGCUUCAGUCAGAGGGAGGGGCUGGUUAACACGUUGGUGCUAGCUAGCUAGUCUGCACGGCUAAAGCUACUGUUGCCUCCUCUUUGGUUAGAAGUACAAUAACAAAGCUCAUCCAUUGUCGUUCGUUGGAAGUUGGUCGAAAUAAAUAUUAUAUCCUAGUGUAUCCAUGUGCACACGUUAAACAAACAAUGAACCAUAAAAAGCAGCACCACACAGGAAGCUUGUUUUCAGCAGCUAAUGAUAGCCACCGUGACAAUGAGCCGAUCUGUCAGACGGGCUAGCUCCACUUAGCAUCUUCGCUAGCUCAUCUGCUCAGCAUUAUAUCAAGUCCUUCCUCAAACGCAAUGUAGCAAUGUUAACGUAUCGAUAGCUAAACCAAGCCGUACACCGUGGCCGUCCUCUCGGGGGCCCGCUAAGGCAGAGCUAGCUGCGGGUCCGCAGCGUGCCGCCGGAGGGAGAGUCCAUUUUCAAAACGCCGGCUGGAGAACUCAGCCAGUUCACAUUGUUUCAAACACCAGCACCGCGCACACUUCAGGAAACCAACUAUUCAACAUUCAUACGACUAAUUGACAUGUGCCAUACCUGCCGAUGGAUCACCAAAUUGUGUUGUGUUGAUAAUUUCGGAAGAUAAAUGUGAUAAUAAAAAGAGAAAAGUGUAAAACUCCCGGCACUGGUCCGGCUCCAGUCAUUCACUCUUGA